AUAUCAAUAAGCGGAGGAAAAGAAACCAACAGGGAUUGCCCUAGUAACGGCGAGUGAAGCGGCAACAGCUCAAAUUUGAAAUCUGGCUUCGGCCCGAGUUGUAAUUUGCAGAGGAAGCUUUAGGCGCGGCACUUUCUGAGUCCCCUGGAACGGGGCGCCAUAGAGGGUGAGAGCCCCGUAUAGUUAGAUGCCUAGCCUGUGUAAAGCUCCUUCGACGAGUCGAGUAGUUUGGGAAUGCUGCUCAAAAUGGGAGGUAAAUUUCUUCUAAAGCUAAAUACCGGCCAGAGACCGAUAGCGCACAAGUAGAGUGAUCGAAAGAUGAAAAGCACUUUGAAAAGAGGGUUAAAUAGCACGUGAAAUUGUUGAAAGGGAAGCGCUUGUGACCAGACUUGCGCCGGGCAGAUCAUCCGGUGUUCUCACCGGUGCACUCUGCCCGGCUCAGGCCAGCAUCGGUUCUCGCGGGGGGAUAAAGGCCCUGGGAACGUAGCUCCUCCGGGAGUGUUAUAGCCCGGGGCGUAAUGCCCUCGCGGGGACCGAGGUUCGCGCAUCUGCAAGGAUGCUG
RNAcentral lists this ribosomal RNA (562 nucleotides) under Chaetomium globosum. RNAcentral's name for it is "partial large subunit ribosomal RNA". It matches the Rfam family "Eukaryotic large subunit ribosomal RNA", at positions 40 to 628 of the family's 3401-position model. The record is from RNAcentral. Lineage: Eukaryota; Fungi; Ascomycota; Sordariomycetes; Sordariales; Chaetomiaceae.